CUUCGGGCCCCAGGUGCAGGGCGGUCCUGCCCGCGGGCGCUCGCCCUGCGGCGCCCAGCGGAGGCCGUGUUUGCUGCGAAGGCCGUGGCCCCGUCGUGGUGGCUUCGCGACGCGGCUGCAGGCAGCUGCUCCUGCACAGCCGGGGCGCGGCCCCUCUUCCGGUGGCCCGUACAUGUCCGCAGCUCCGCCGCGCUGACCGCCCCCCUGCCCCCGGGAAGCCAGGAGAGAGGAGCCAGCCGGCGACGGGGCCCGCACCCCGGAGCGCCCCGAGGCCCCGACAGGUCUGUGGGUUAGAAGUCCGACCUGGGCUUCAGUGGGCUAAAAUCAAGGUCUCGGCAAGCCGGCCACGCUUCCUGCAGGCUCUGGAGGACCAUCUGUGUCUUUAUCCUCUUCAAGCUCCUAGAGGCGCCCACAUUCCUUGGCUGGUGGCUUCUUCCUCCAGCUUCAAAAUCAGCAACCUUCUUCCAAAGUCACAGCUCCCUCUGCUUCUCCGCUGUCCCCCUCUUCCACUUGUAAGGUCCCUUGUGAUCACGUUGCACCUACUCAGAUAAUCCCGGGGGGUUUCGCUAUCUUAAGGUCAGCCGAUUGGCAACCUUAGUUCCAUCUCCAAUCUUGAUUGCCUUUUGCCAUGUAACACAGUGUAUUUACCAGCUCCCGGGGACAGGACAAGGACGUCGUUAGGGGGCUGUCAUUCUGCCCACUGCAGUCCCUAUGAGCUAUAUUGUGACAGGAAGCCAGAGAGUAACCGUGGUCCUGAGACAGGACAGGGAAGGCCUGCUGCGUGGACGCUCUGCAGGCACGGACAGGAGGAGAAAGCUACGGCCAGUCAGCCGUUACACGCCACAGUGCCAGAGGCUGUGUGGAUCUGCUGCAGUGGAGACGCCACCUCCAGCCUGGCAGCCCUGAUUGCUUCUGCUGCCUGCCUCAUUUCUUUUUAGUGCUAAAUAACAUUCCACUGCCUGGAUGGACCACGGUUUAUUUCUCUGUUCACCUACUGAAGGACAUCUUGGUUGCCUCCAAAUUUUGCCUCCAACUGUGAAUAAAGCUGCUGUAAAUGUCUGCGGACAGGAUUUGAUGUGAACAUAAAAUUUCCACUCCUUUCGGUAAAUACCAAGGAGCACAACUGCCGAAUCUUUAGAGUAUAUUCAGUUUUAUAAGAAACCGCCUGUCUCCCAAGGUGGCUGCGCCGUCCUGUGUCCCCACCAGCAGCGGAGGCAGUUCCUGCUGCUCCGCACCCUCGCCCGCGUCUGGCGUCGUAAGUGUCUGCAGUAGGUGCGGAGUGGCGCCUCGCUGUUGUUUUAAUUUGCAUUUCCCUGAUGACAGAUGACACAGAGCAGCUGUCAUAUGCUUACGUGCCGUCGGUAUAUGUUCUCUGGUGAGGCGUCUGUUCAGGUGCUUGGCCCCAUUUUAAAAUCAGGUUUCUUCCUGUUGGGCUUUAAGAGUUCUUUGUAUAUUUCAAAUAACAGUCCUUUAUCAUUUGUAUCUUUUGCAAAUGUUUUCUCCCAGUCUGUCUUUCGCAGAGCAGAAAUUUUUAAUUUUUUAAAAAUAUUUAUUGGCUGCGUUGGGUCUUCGUUGCUGCACGUGGGCUUUCUCUAGUUGCAGCAAGUGGGGGCUACUCUUCGCUGUGGUGUGCGGGUU
Molecule: long non-coding RNA, 1638 nt
Organism: Lagenorhynchus albirostris (white-beaked dolphin)
Lineage: Eukaryota; Metazoa; Chordata; Mammalia; Artiodactyla; Delphinidae
Exons: 3
Source: RefSeq, a predicted model, not a curated record